GGAGGUGCUGAGGCAUUUUCUGGGGUUCAAAUGGAGAAAAGGAAAUGUGGAUACAUUUUCUGGAGACGGGGUUCAAAUGGAGAAAAGGAAAUGUGGAUACAUUUUCUGGAGAACGGGGUUCAUUCUGGCGAUCGAGAGUUAUCGUCAGGCGACUGGGGUUCAAACUGGAGAUCGGGGUUCAUUAUGUUGGCAAAAAGGAGUGCUGAGGCAUUUUCUGGGGUUCAAAUGCAGAGGUCCGAGGAUCGUUUGCGCAGAGAAAAUUUCGGGGUUCAAGAAAAUAAGAAAAAGAAGCAGAGAAACGUUC
RNAcentral lists this long non-coding RNA (304 nucleotides) under Lathyrus oleraceus (garden pea). RNAcentral describes it as "Pisum sativum (pea) long non-coding RNA (PSAT_LNC001177)". Lineage: Eukaryota; Viridiplantae; Streptophyta; Magnoliopsida; Fabales; Fabaceae. The record is from RNAcentral.